CCCUGCCAUUUGUACACACCGCCCGUCGCUACUACCGAUUGAAUGGCUUAGUGAGGCCUUGGGAUUUCGAGUGCUCAGAAAUGGGUCACCUGAAAAAACUUGGCCAAACUUGGUCAUUUAGAGGAAGU
RNAcentral lists this ribosomal RNA (128 nucleotides) under uncultured eukaryote. Its description in RNAcentral is "partial small subunit ribosomal RNA". It matches the Rfam family "Eukaryotic small subunit ribosomal RNA", at positions 1651 to 1783 of the family's 1831-position model. The record is from RNAcentral.